Molecule: ribosomal RNA, 355 nt
Filed under: uncultured bacterium
Lineage: Bacteria
Description: bacterial SSU rRNA
Rfam family: Bacterial small subunit ribosomal RNA
Source: RNAcentral
AGCGAACGCUGGCGGCAGGCCUAAUACAUGCAAGUCGAGCGCACCUUCGGGUGAGCGGCGGACGGGUGAGUAACGCGUGGGAAUGUGCCCUUUGGUACGGAACAACUGAGGGAAACUUCAGCUAAUACCGUAUGUGCCCUUCGGGGGAAAGGAUUUAUCGCCAUUGGAGCAGCCCGCGUUGGAUUAGGUAGUUGGUGAGGUAAAGGCUCACCAAGCCGACGAUCCAUAGCUGGCUGAGAGGAUGAUCAGCCACACUGGGACUGAGACACGGCCCAGACUCCUACGGGAGGCAGCAGUAGGGAAUCUUGCGCAAUGGGCGAAAAGCCUGACGCAGCCAUGCCGCGUGAAUGAUGAA